RNAcentral lists this ribosomal RNA (253 nucleotides) under uncultured bacterium. RNAcentral describes it as "partial 16S ribosomal RNA". It matches the Rfam family "Bacterial small subunit ribosomal RNA", at positions 524 to 776 of the family's 1533-position model. The record is from RNAcentral.
UACAGAGGGUGCGAGCGUUAAUCGGAUUUACUGGGCGUAAAGGGUGCGUAGGCGGCAAUAUGUGUGUGAUGUGAAAGCCCCGAGCUCAACUUGGGAAGUGCAUCGCAAACUGUAUAGCUAGAGUAUAUGAGAGGGUGGCGGAAUUUCCGGUGUAGCGGUGAAAUGCGUAGAGAUCGGAAGGAACGUCGAUGGCGAAGGCAGCCACCUGGCAUAAUACUGACGCUGAGGCACGAAAGCGUGGGGAGCGAACAGG